This 395-nucleotide ribosomal RNA is filed under the name uncultured Glomeromycotina. RNAcentral describes it as "SSU rRNA". It matches the Rfam family "Eukaryotic small subunit ribosomal RNA", at positions 569 to 969 of the family's 1831-position model. The record is from RNAcentral. Lineage: Eukaryota; Fungi; Glomeromycota.
AGCAGCCGCGGUAAUUCCAGCUCCAAUAGCGUAUAUUAAAGUUGUUGCAGUUAAAAAGCUCGUAGUUGAAUUUCGGGAUCAAUAUUUCGGUCAUGCCGUUGGUAUGCACUGUUAUCAUUGAUUUCUCACCUUCUAAAGAACCGUGAUGCCAUUAAUUUGGUGUUACGGGGAAUUAGGACUGUUACCUUGAAAAAUUAGAGUGUUUAAAGCAGGCUCACGCUUGAAUACAUUAGCAUGGAAUAAUGAAAUAGGACAUCCGAUUCUAUUUUGUUGGUUUCUAGGAUCGAUGUAAUGAUUAAUAGGGAUAGUUGGGGCAUUAGUAUUCAAUUGUCAGAGGUGAAAUUCUUGGAUUUAUUGAAGACUAACUACUGCGAAAGCAUUUGCCAAGGAUGUUU